AUUAUUAUUUAGGGAACAUAUGCAGGAGUCAGUAGGCUAAUUAGCAGACGUCUGAGCACUCAGGUGGAGUGGAGCAGUCAGAUGGCUGGGCAGAACGACUGAAACUUUAGCGCUAAACAACCAUGGCUACAAAUACCUGCAUCUAAUUAAAUAUUAAUAUUUAAGAAUAAAACAACGACGACAACAACAAUAACACUACAUUACUGAUUUUAAAAAAUCAUUAUUAUUAUUAUUAUUAUUAUUAGUAGUAGUAGUAGUAGUAGUAGUAGUAGUGGUAAUAGCAGUGUAGUAAUAGUAGUAGUGGUGGUAGUAGUAGCAGUAAUAGUACUACAGUAGUGGUGGUGGUAGUAGUAGUAGUGGUGGUGGUAGUAGUAGUAGUGGUAAUAGUAGUGUAGUAAUAGUAGUAGUGGUGGUGGUAGUAGUAGUAGUGGUAAUAGUAGUUUAGUAAUAGUAGUAGUGGUAGUAGUAGUAGUGGUAAUAGUAGUGUAGUAAUAGUAGUAGUGGUGGUAGUAGUAGUAGUGGUAGUAGUGUACUACUAGUAGUAGUGGUGGUUUAGUAAUAGUAGUAGUGGUGGUAUAGUAGUAGCAGUAGUAAUAGUAGUAGUAACCCCAUUAUUUUCCAUUAUUUUCAUAUUAUUCCACAAUAAACUAUAUGUACACCUUCGUUUUUUUUCCUCCCCCUCUCUUCAUCCGUUUAUUCAUCUCCCCUCUCCGCUAGUCAAGUAACUAUCCAGCAACUAUUAUAUUUAUCCCAUACUUUUCACACAAUAUCAUCAGUACAUGUUUUAAUAUUAUUCUAACUAGUAACCCUGUUCUUCAAAUACCCUAUUAUUAAUAAACAUUAUUAACCCCUUUUUCACUAUGGGUUAUGUGGCCAUGGUUGAUUAUUCAAUAAUGUGUGAUAAAGUGUACAGUAUUAUUACUUAAAGACUGUGAUUUAUUUAGAGACUACUGUGAAACUAACAGAGAAGGUGUGUAUUUAUAGACCGACACAUGCUUCCUGUUUAAAGGGUUAAUAUUCUGUUAAAAC
Ictalurus punctatus (channel catfish) is the source of this 1029-nucleotide long non-coding RNA. The record is from Ensembl. Lineage: Eukaryota; Metazoa; Chordata; Actinopteri; Siluriformes; Ictaluridae.